CCGAGAUCACGGUCAGAUGGGCAUCUUUUGCGAGCCUUGAAUGAUACCGGAACGCGAGGUCUUGAGGUGGGCUGGCUUUCAUUGAACGGCAAAAGUUGCUCUCGGAGGCGACCCACAAAGCUUAUUUCCUUACUGGAAGAACCCUCGACCUGGAGGAUUUGGCUCUUGUCAUUCAACCUCUUCACAAACUGAAACAGGUCUUGCACUUGAGGACGAGUCCAUCAUCAAGUCCAAGGUCGAAUGCUGAAGCUUGUGCAUGGUUUUGUGAAAUAGCGAAACAUUGUUGUCGGCACUUCAUCAAUCUCUUCACCAAAAAAACAUGGUAAAUUGCUCCUUUUAUGGGAUAAUUCUUCUACUCUUAUUUCCUUUAUUUAUUUUAUUUUUUUUUGUUUCUUAUUCGUAUUCUUUUGAUAUGCGAUGGAUCCUGUUUCUGCCAUGCAGUUUCAUGAGAAAGCUCUGUCGUCUAGUUUUGUUGCCAUUGGGCUUUGAAGUUUUGAGACGAUUGUGUUGAAUCUGUCGUCGUAGGUGAAAUUCAAUCGUAGUUGCAUGUACAAGUGUUGUUUGUGAUGUAUUUUAGAAUUAUUGAUAUGCAGGAAGGUUUUCUUUGUUCUGUUUGGAAAAAGAUUGUUCAGUUUAAUUUGUAGAUUGUUUAAAAAAAAUAAAAUAAAAUAAAAUAAUACAUAUGUCUAAUGA
Molecule: non-coding RNA, 693 nt
Organism: Physcomitrium patens
Lineage: Eukaryota; Viridiplantae; Streptophyta; Bryopsida; Funariales; Funariaceae
Source: RefSeq, a predicted model, not a curated record